This 695-nucleotide long non-coding RNA is filed under the name Coffea arabica (coffee). RNAcentral's name for it is "long non-coding RNA (CARA_LNC002026)". Lineage: Eukaryota; Viridiplantae; Streptophyta; Magnoliopsida; Gentianales; Rubiaceae. The record is from RNAcentral.
GCACAUGUGCUUUAUUUGUUUCCUUGCAAGAACCAAAUGUACCGAAACAGUGCAGCACGUUUGAGCCCACGUUUGGAAUAGAAAAGCUUGUUUGAGACCACAUUUAAGAGAAAAUGAGAAAUUUGGUGGCCUUCACAAGCCAACGAGAAAAGCAAAAUCAAAGAAAAAGAGGAAAAUCACCAAGCUUUAAAAAGAAAACGGGUUCAACUGAAUGGAGUUGGCAGAAGAAAGCUGAAAUUAACCUAUUGCUAAUGAAAAUGAUGGAGACUAAGCAGAAAUUAGGUCCAGAAAUUUUUUUUAAAAAAAAAGGAAAGGCAGAGGAGAGGAGGGGCGGCGCUGUCUCUGCAAAUGGGAAUGAUGCUGUAGAGUAAAGGGAAAGAGGAAAGGGAGUAGCUGAAUGGAGUUGGCAGAAGAAAGCAGAAAUUAACCUAUUGCUAAUGAAAAUGAUGGAGGCUAAGCAGAAAUUAGGUCCAGAAAUUUAAAAAAAAAAAAAAAAGUCAGAGGAGAGGAGGGGCGGCGCUGUUUCUGUAAAUGGGAAUGAUGUUGUAGAGUAAAGGGAAGGAGGAAAGGGAGUAAUGGAGGUAUACGGAUAGGGCAAGGGAGAGCAAAGGGGAAAGAAGGGAGAGCAGGAGGAAGAGCGGCGGGAGAUAAGAUACGAUACUCUUAGGGUUAGAAAUUAGAAAAAAAAAAAAAAA